CAGUUCUGAAAAGUAUUCCAAUACUCAUAGUUAAAAGCCCACAAAUUUUAAUUAGUCUUUUUAUCCAUGUUUUUGACAAGUUGUUUCAUCUGAAACCUCCAAAAGAAGAAAUAGGCCAGGCCCAAACCAAUCAACACAAACAUCCAUAUAUUCUCAUUCUCACUCUCCCUGCCCGACUUCACUUGCUUUAUUUGAAACCACUCCCUCCCCCCGUUUCCCAUUAUACCCUCCAACACACUCCCAUAUAACACAUACACCCUUUCCUCUCUGCCCACUACCACUGAAGUGGGGAAUCUUUCCCUAUCAAGGUCAAUCUUGUCAUAAACAACUCCCUCGCCCCAGCUAUCAUUGCUCAUCAAAAACCAAAGCUGGUUUUGGGACACUACUAAAACGGCGCCGUCUUUUCUUUUGGAGAUCCCAUCGGCUAAGUGCAAAUCUUCGUUCAACAAGACCGUCCUCGCCGUGCCAUCCUCCGCGUCCACCUUGAACAUUUUCCCCGUGUUGGUUUGCACCACCAGUAGAAAACCCUUGCUGUCAUAAGCAAUCCCGUUAAGGCCGCAGUAGCUAAACGGUGCGUUGCGGUCCACUGGAUACAGCGUGAAAAUUGGAGAUCUGGAGAAAAUGGACACCUCUCCUCCAGCAUUGACUUUCCAGAUGAAAUUCCCUUCGGAGUUGCCUAAGGAAUUGGUGACGUAAGCGUUUCCCUUGAAAUCAACAGCUACGGCAUUGGCGACGAACCGAGGUGAAAUACUUGCGUCGGCGUCGGGUAGGAGAGAGAGAAAGAGGCGUUGCCGGGUGCCAAGGUCAUAGGCGGCGAGGGCGUUGAAGGGAGGAG
Molecule: unclassified non-coding RNA, 835 nt
Filed under: Hevea brasiliensis (rubber tree)
Lineage: Eukaryota; Viridiplantae; Streptophyta; Magnoliopsida; Malpighiales; Euphorbiaceae
Source: RNAcentral